This 481-nucleotide ribosomal RNA is filed under the name uncultured bacterium. RNAcentral's name for it is "bacterial SSU rRNA". It matches the Rfam family "Bacterial small subunit ribosomal RNA", at positions 397 to 867 of the family's 1533-position model. The record is from RNAcentral.
GCGCGUGAGUGAAGAAGGCCUUCGGGAUUGAAAGCUCUUUUAGUCAGGAAAGGAACACGGCCUACACAGCCGGGAAUGACGGUACCUGAAAGAAUAAGCACCGGCUAACUACGCUGCCAGCAGCCGCGGUAAUACGUACGGUGCGAGCGUUAAUCGGAAUUACUGGGCGUAAAGCGUGCGCAGGCGGUUGUACAAGACAGGCGUGAAAUCCCCGGGCUUAACCUGGGAAUGGCGCCUGUGACUGUACGGCUAGAGUGUGUCAGACGGGGGUAGAAUUCCACGUGUAGCAGUGAAAUGCGUAGAUAUGUGGAGGAAUACCAAUGGCGCAAGGGCAAGCACCCCUUGGGAUAACACUGACGCUCAUGCACGAAAGCGUGGGGAGCAAACAGGAUUACAUACCCUGGUAGUCCACGCCCUAGCCGAUGCUGACUAGUCGUUCGGGAUUUACAUCCUGCAGUAACGUAGCUAACGCGUGAGGUCA